GACCGUUUCACUACGGAAGGGCUGUAUUUAUUGGAUACCAAAACCAUCCUUCCCUCGGGAAGUUUUGUUUGAUGAUUCACAAUAACUGAUCGGAACGCCACUGUGGUGGCGACAGGUCAUUCAACAUUCUGCCCUAUCAGCUUUCGAUGGUUGCGUAGUGGACAACCAUGGCCAUAACGGGUAACGGAGAAUCAGGGUUCGAUUCCGGAGAAGGAGCUUGAGAAUUGGCUACUACAUCUAAGGAAGGCAGCAGGCGCGCAAAUUACCCAAUCCCGAUUCGGGGAGGUAGUGACAAAAAAUAACAAUACCGGGCCUUUUUGGGCUUGGUAAUUGGAAUGAGGGAGAGUUAAACGGACCAUCGAGUAUCCAUUGGAGGGCAAGUCUGGUGCCAGCAGCUGCGGUAAUACCAGCUCCAAUAGCGUAUAUUAAAGUUGUUGCAGUUAAAAAGCUCGUAGUUGGACUUGUGUGCGCUGUCCGCGGGUGGCCUGCGCCCAAAAGGGCGUUUCGGUUCGGCCCCGGUGGCGCCUUGAAAUCUGCAGCUGGGGGGACGUUGGCCUUAACUGGUCGGCGACCGCACGCCGGCUGCUCGGUUACUGUGAGAAAAUUAGAGUGUUCAAGGCAGGCAUUGGGUGCAAUUGAAUACAUUAGCAUGGAAUAAUAAAAUAUGGCUCCUGCCGUAUUUUGUUGGUUUUGACUGGUGGGAGUAAUGAUUGAUAGGGACGGUUGGGGGUGCUAGUAUUGAGCGGCCAGAGGUGAAAUUCAUGGAUUCGCUCAAGACUAACUUAUGCGAAAGCAUUCACCAAGGACGUCCUCUUUAAUCAAGAACGAAAGUUGGGGGAUCGAAGACGAUCAGAUACCGUCGUAGUCUCAACCAUAAACUAUGUCGACUUGGGAUCGGCGGUAGUUUUUUCAUUAAGACACUGUCGGGACCACGGGAGAAAUCAAAGUGUCUGGACUCUGGGGGAAGUAUGGUCGCAAGGCUGAAACUUGAAGGAAUUGACGGAAGGGCACCACCAGGAGUGGAGCCUGCGGCUUAAUUUGACCCAACACGGGGAAACUUACCAGGUCCAGAGAUGUAGAGGAUUGACAGAUUGAAGCUCUUUCUUGAUCACUUCGGUGGUGGUGCAUGGCCGUUCUUAGUUGGUGGAGUGAUUUGUCUGGUUAAUUCCGUUAACGAACGAGACCUCAGCCUGCUAGUGUAGUCGGCUGGAUUGCCUUUGGCGAUCCGUGAUUUCGACUUCUUAGAGGGACAAUC
Molecule: ribosomal RNA, 1255 nt
Filed under: metagenome
Description: SSU rRNA
Rfam family: Eukaryotic small subunit ribosomal RNA
Source: RNAcentral